GGCAGGGUUGGGAUAGCGCAAGUGAGCUGAACUUCUGCGCUGGUGUAGUGCACUAUCCUCAGUUUAAUACUUUAUUUCAGAAAUUAUUUCCUUUGGCGAAAACUGCUGUAGCCUUGUGUGUUUUUAUCAACACCAUUAAGGACACUUGGAUUUUCCCUUCAUCAAGUAAUUAACGGGUUUAUCGGGAAGUUGAGAUGUUUACAGGGAUACUCUGGGCUUCCAGUGCCACCCGAACCUGUGAUUUCUGAAAGCAGGUAAGCCACUGACUAACGCACAUUGCGCCUAUUCUCCACUCCACUGUGCGUGUGACAGCGGCUAACCAGCUUUUGGAUGUGUGCCUGACUCCAGCAGCCGUGGGAACGUCCCACCAGAGACUCCUGAACGGGUCGAGGCGGACACGGUCACUGUCCCUCCACGAGUCUUUCUGCUCCUGUAGCUCGGCUGGUGUGUGUUGGACUCCCAGGCAGCACAUCAUGUGCUGAAGAGUGUUCAGUCUAAAUGUGCUCUGACAUCAGUGCAUACGUGCAGUGUGUCACAGACAUGUGCUCCUGAUUAGACUCGCAUCUCUAGAUGAAGCGGCUUCACUCAUUCAUACUUUUAUACAUAAUAAUAAUGUUGUUUUGCACUGAUCCAGCAGCUCUGAACUUUUGAACUUGUACAGUUAAGCGAAUGCAGUUCCAGCAGCUGAGGGAGUGUCUGAAACCGAACUGAAUCAUAUUCAUGUUUAACAGGCUCGGUCUGUUAGCUGUCCAAUCCUUUAAUUUGUCACAGUAAUAAUUAAACUCCCAUUCUGAUCAGC
Molecule: long non-coding RNA, 799 nt
Organism: Cyprinus carpio (common carp)
Lineage: Eukaryota; Metazoa; Chordata; Actinopteri; Cypriniformes; Cyprinidae
Source: RefSeq, a predicted model, not a curated record